RNAcentral lists this unclassified non-coding RNA (955 nucleotides) under Bradyrhizobium sp. Its description in RNAcentral is "partial contains 16S ribosomal RNA, 16S-23S ribosomal RNA intergenic spacer, and 23S ribosomal RNA". The stretch from base 1 to 90 matches the Rfam family "Bacterial small subunit ribosomal RNA", at positions 1444 to 1533 of the family's 1533-position model. Lineage: Bacteria; Pseudomonadati; Pseudomonadota; Alphaproteobacteria; Hyphomicrobiales; Nitrobacteraceae. The record is from RNAcentral.
GGGAGGCAGCCGGCCACGGUAGGGUCAGCGACUGGGGUGAAGUCGUAACAAGGUAGCCGUAGGGGAACCUGCGGCUGGAUCACCUCCUUUCUAAGGAUGGUUCUUCAGAAGCUUGCUUCUAUCGAACCGUUUUAGAAACAUCAGUGGCCAACGAUCGUCAGGAUUGUUGAGCUGCAUUGGCGGGAUUUCGCCGUCUUCGUUUCUCUUUCUUCGCGGACGAACACGCGCUGGGGCUGCAAGCUUGCAGAAUCCCUGGUCCUUGACUGGAUAUGCGUUAGGGGCUUGUAGCUCAGUUGGUUAGAGCGCGCGCUUGAUAAGCGUGAGGUCGGAAGUUCAAGUCUUCCCAGGCCCACCACACUCAUCGAGUGAGCAUUCGUCUUCUGGUUACGGGGCCAUAGCUCAGCUGGGAGAGCGCGUGCUUUGCAAGCAUGAGGUCGUCGGUUCGAUCCCGUCUGGCUCCACCAGAUGGUUUGAUCAUCGACUGAUCGUGCACCUAAAUCGUCCGCGAAACAUCACUUCGCACUUACUAGUCCGGAUGGACAGUAAGCUGCGUGAUUUCUGACAUCGUAAAGAGGAGAUCGAUCCGAGUUGGAUCGGGCAACAAGCAAUUGUUGCGCGAUACUUCAUUAUCUCCGGAUCAUUUCGGCGCUCGUGCGCCUUUCAAUGUAGCUCACAAGGCUGCGUCUGAGAGGAAUGCGAGUUGUAAAUGAUCCUUUUAGCGAAGCUUGACCGCCUCGCUAUCGGAACGAUCUUACGAAGCAAGCUGGUCUUUCUAAUCAUUGUCCGGCUGCAGAUAGCGUUCAUCGAGGGCGCGUGCCGCAAGGUAAUUCUGCAGACAACAUUCUGCCGAGUGUGUGGACAUUGAUAAUGAGAGCAAUCAAGUGCCUUAAGGGUGUUCGGUGGAUGCCUUGGCGCUGAGAGGCGAUGAAGGACGUGCUACGCUGCGAUAAGCCGU